This 253-nucleotide ribosomal RNA is filed under the name uncultured bacterium. Its description in RNAcentral is "partial 16S ribosomal RNA". It matches the Rfam family "Bacterial small subunit ribosomal RNA", at positions 524 to 776 of the family's 1533-position model. The record is from RNAcentral.
UACGUAGGGGGCAAGCGUUGUCCGGAAUCAUUGGGCGUAAAGAGCGUGUAGGCGGCCCGGUAAGUCCGCUGUGAAAGUCCAGGGCUCAACCCUGGGAUGCCGGUGGAUACUGUCGGGCUCGAGUCCGGAAGAGGAGUGUGGAAUUCCUGGUGUAGCGGUGAAAUGCGCAGAUAUCAGGAGGAACACCAAUGGCGAAGGCGGCAUCCUGGACCAAUACUGACGCUGAAUAGCGAAAGCCAGGGGAGCAAACGGG